This 253-nucleotide ribosomal RNA is filed under the name uncultured bacterium. Its description in RNAcentral is "partial 16S ribosomal RNA". It matches the Rfam family "Bacterial small subunit ribosomal RNA", at positions 524 to 776 of the family's 1533-position model. The record is from RNAcentral.
UACGUAGGGUGCGAGCGUUAAUCGGAAUUACUGGGCGUAAAGUGUGCGCAGGCGGCCGAGCAAGUCGAGUGUGAAAGCCCCGGGCUUAACUUGGGAAUUGCGCUCGAAACUACUUGGCUGGAGUGUGGCAGAGGAAGGUGGAAUUCCAGGUGUAGCGGUGAAAUGCGUAGAGAUCUGGAGGAACACCGAUGGCGAAGGCAGCCUUCUGGGCCAACACUGACGCUCAUGCACGAAAGCGUGGGGAGCAAACAGG